CUAACUCUCUAUCCCUCUCUCCUCCUCUCUGUAAAAAAAAAUCAAUAAAAUAUAUUUUAAAAAUAAAUAAAUAAAUAAAAUGUCUUAUACCUUCUAACUUGAUCAUAACUGAACAAUACAUCCUGAGGUUUAUAUUUUAGAGAGCUAUUGCUUCUAGUUCUUUUAACCAUUACAGUAGCAUCAUAAAAAGGCUGGUAGAGGAGUCCAUUUUCAAUAAGCUUGUUAAUAAUAACCUGUUUCGUUUUUUUUGUUUGUUUUUUGGUUUUUUUUGGAGCUAGGAAGAGAAAAAAAUUAAUUCCUAGAAUUUGAAAUGAAGAUUUAGUUACUGGUAGCAGUGUAAACAUUCAAACACUGUGUGCCUGAAACAUAUAUAUCAUAGUAGCAGUCUUAAAUCAGUAAUAUAAUAUAAAUGUGAGCUUAAAUUUUUAAGAAAUGUGUAUGUAUGGGAAAUUAAAAAAUGCUUUAGCAAUUUGUUUCCUAAUUAAAGAGUGAUUUUAUUGCUUGACCUGCAUGGCUCAGUGGUUGAGUGUUGACCUAUGAACCAGGAGGUCACACAGUUCGAUUCCCAAUCAGGAUACUUGCAGGCUCCAUGGCAUGCAGCUGAUCAAUGAGGUUUCUAUCUCUCUCUUUCCCUUUCUCUCUGAAAUAAAUAAAUAAUAUAUUUUUAAAAAUUUGUUGAAUGUUUCUCCUGGUUUAUAUAGUUUCUAAACUAAAGUGUAUAUAUAUCUCUGCGGGGUUGGUGGGUCAUAAAGUGUGUGUACAGCUCAUUUUUCUAGAUAAUGCCUAAUUGUUAUUUUCCAAUGUGGUUUAGUCUCCACCAGAAAUGUGAAGUGUUCUGUUACUCUUUGCCAACAUUUGUCAGGCUUUUACAUUUUUGUCAACCUGAUGAACAUAAAAAGAUACCCUGUUGUUUUUAAUUUUCAUUUUCCUGAUUAUCAAUGAAGUGUAGCAUCUUUUGCAGUUUUUUUUUUAAUAAAGCUGUGAAAUGUCAUUUUGUGUCUUUUGUUUGAUUUUAUAUUGUGUACUUUGUCCUUUUUGAUCUAUAGUAGUUCCUUAAAAUAUUUUGGUUAAUACUUUUUAUGUAAUUGUUUUUGCUUUUUGUAAAUUUCUGCAUCCUGUUGUCAAAUAUAUCUUCUUAUAUUUUCUCUAUUUUUAAAUACUUAAAUAUACAUACAGAAGUUUAAAUUAACCUCAAUUUGGUUUUGUUUAAAAAAUGUAAGUUUUUAUAUCUGGCAAGACAAGCCACAAGUUGUGUUCUUUAUCAUAAUCUUAGCCCAUUCUGGGGUUGUUCACCAUAGUACCUGUCCUGAUUUGUAUUAAGACUAUUUUAUAUUUAGGUAGUUUGUUCAUAGAUAUUUUCACCUUUAAUUAUUUUCAGACAUGUAACAUUUAGUCCUAGAGGAUUGUAUUGUCCUUUUAUCCUAAUGGAAGGUUCCAUGAAUAUGUAGUUAAUAUACAAAAGUAUUUCGGACAGCAUUACUAAUAAACAGUGUGGUACUUUUAGAAUCAGAAAUGGAUAUGGUUGAAUCAUUGCUUUACCAAGGUUUCAUGACUUCAAGCAAGCUAUAUAAUCUCUUGAUUUUUUUCACCAAUGAAACCUGGCACAU
Long non-coding RNA from Pipistrellus kuhlii (Kuhl's pipistrelle), 1607 nucleotides. RefSeq lists it as uncharacterized. NCBI's taxonomy places the organism in Eukaryota, Metazoa, Chordata, Mammalia, Chiroptera, Vespertilionidae. The transcript is spliced from 2 exons. The record is from RefSeq and is a predicted model, not a curated record.